AGAGUUUGAUCCUGGCUCAGGAUGAACGCUGGCGGUCUGCUUAACACAUGCAAGUCGAACGGAAUCUUUCGGGAUUUAGUGGCGGACGGGUGAGUAACGCGUGAGAAUCUGCCUUCAGGUUCGGGACAACAGUUGGAAACGGCUGCUAAUACCGGAUGUGCCGAGAGGUGAAAGCUUAAGUGCCUGGAGAUGAGCUCGCGUCUGAUUAGCUAGUAGGAGUGGUAACGGCACCCCUAGGCGACGAUCAGUAGCUGGUCUGAGAGGAUGAUCAGCCACACUGGGACUGAGACACGGCCCAGACUCCUACGGGAGGCAGCAGUGGGGAAUUUUCCGCAAUGGGCGCAAGCCUGACGGAGCAAGACCGCGUGAGGGAAGAAGGUCUGUGGAUUGUAAACCUCUUUUGAUCGGGAAGAAGACAGUGACGGUACCUGCGAAGA
Molecule: ribosomal RNA, 437 nt
Filed under: uncultured cyanobacterium
Lineage: Bacteria; Bacillati; Cyanobacteriota
Description: bacterial SSU rRNA
Rfam family: Bacterial small subunit ribosomal RNA
Source: RNAcentral